UGGGCGCAGCCUGAUCCAGCCAUGCCGCGUGUGUGAAGAAGGCUUUCGGGUUGUAAAGCACUUUCAGUGAGGAAGAAAGCCUUGGGGCCAAUACCCCCAAGGGACGACAUCACUCACAGAAGAAGCACCGGCUAACUCCGUGCCAGCAGCCGCGGUAAUACGGAGGGUGCAAGCGUUAAUCGGAAUUACUGGGCGUAAAGCGCGCGUAGGCGGCGUGAUAAGCCGGUUGUGAAAGCCCCGGGCUCAACCUGGGAACGGCAUCCGGAACUGUCAGGCUAGAGUGCAGGAGAGGAAGGUAGAAUUCCCGGUGUAGCGGUGAAAUGCGUAGAGAUCGGGAGGAAUACCAGUGGCGAAGGCGGCCUUCUGGACUGACACUGACGCUGAGGUGCGAAAGCGUGGGUAGCAAACAGGAUUAGAUACCCUGGUAGUCCACGCCGUAAACGAUGUCGACUAGCCGUUGGGGUCCUAGAGACCUUUGUGGCGCAGUUAACGCGAUAAGUCGACCGCCUGGGGAGUACGGCCGCAAGGUUAAAACUCAAAUGAAUUGACGGGGGCCCGCACAAGCGGUGGAGCAUGUGGUUUAAUUCGAUGCAACGCGAAGAACCUUACCUACCCUUGACAUCCUCGGAAGCCUGCAGAGAUGCGGGUGUGCCUUCGGGAGCCGAGUGACAGGUGCUGCAUGGCUGUCGUCAGCUCGUGUUGUGAAAUUUUGGGUUAAGUCCCGUAACGAGCGCAACCCUUGUCCCUAUUUGCCAGCGAUUCGGUCGGGAACUCUAGGGAGACUGCCGGUGACAAACCGGAAGGAAGGUGGGGACGACGUCAAGUCAUCAUGGCCCUUA
This 839-nucleotide ribosomal RNA is filed under the name Halomonas sp. YCSA2. Its description in RNAcentral is "bacterial SSU rRNA". It matches the Rfam family "Bacterial small subunit ribosomal RNA", at positions 372 to 1204 of the family's 1533-position model. The record is from RNAcentral. Lineage: Bacteria; Pseudomonadati; Pseudomonadota; Gammaproteobacteria; Oceanospirillales; Halomonadaceae.